This 482-nucleotide ribosomal RNA is filed under the name uncultured bacterium. Its description in RNAcentral is "partial 16S ribosomal RNA". It matches the Rfam family "Bacterial small subunit ribosomal RNA", at positions 30 to 507 of the family's 1533-position model. The record is from RNAcentral.
AUUGAACGCUGGCGGCAUGCUUUACACAUGCAAGUCGAACGGUAACAGGCCGCAAGUUGCUGACGAGUGGCGAACGGGUGAGUAAUGCAUCGGAGCGUGCCCAGUCGUGGGGGAUAACUACUCGAAAGAGUAGCUAAUACCUCAUACGAUCUAUGGAUGAAAGCGGGGGACCGUAAGGCCUCGCGCGAUUUUAGCUGCCGAUGUCAGAUUAGGUAGUUGGUGGGGUAAAGGCUCACCAAGCCAACGAUCUGUAGCUGGUCUGAGAGGACGACCAGCCACACUGGGACUGAGACACGGCCCAGACUCCUACGGGAGGCAGCAGUGGGGAAUUUUGGACAAUGGGCGAAAGCCUGAUCCAGCAAUGCCGCGUGCAGGAAGAAGGCCUUCGGGUUGUAAACUGCUUUUGUACGGAACGAAACGGCGCUGGUUAAUACCCGGGGCUAAUGACGGUACCGGAAGAAUAAGCACCGGCUAACUACGUG